ACAGCAGUCGCCACGGUAAUACGUAGGUGGCAAGCGUUGUCCGGAAUUAUUGGGCGUAAAGGGCUCGCAGGCGGUUUCUUAAGUCUGAUGUGAAAGCCCCCGGCUCAACCGGGGAGGGUCAUUGGAAACUGGGAAACUUGAGUGCAGAAGAGGAGAGUGGAAUUCCACGUGUAGCGGUGAAAUGCGUAGAGAUGUGGAGGAACACCAGUGGCGAAGGCGACUCUCUGGUCUGUAACUGACGCUGAGGAGCGAAAGCGUGGGGAGCGAACAGGAUUAGAGACCCCAGUAGUCCCUGUCUCUUAUAC
Molecule: ribosomal RNA, 305 nt
Filed under: uncultured bacterium
Lineage: Bacteria
Description: partial 16S ribosomal RNA
Rfam family: Bacterial small subunit ribosomal RNA
Source: RNAcentral